GCUCAGCCAUAAACCUAGACAUCCACCUACAAUUAGACGUCCGCCCGGGUACUACGAGCAUUAGCUUGAAACCCAAAGGACCUGACGGUGCCUUAGACCCCCCUAGAGGAGCCUGUUCUAGAACCGAUAACCCCCGUUAAACCUCACCACUUCUAGCCACCCCAGCCUAUAUACCGCCGUCGUCAGCUUACCCUGUGAAGGCAAUAAAAGUAAGCAAAAUGGGCACAACCCAGAACGUCAGGUCGAGGUGUAGCGUACGAAGCGGAAAGAAAUGGGCUACAUUUUCUAUAAUAGAACACUACGGACAUGCAACAUGAAAUAGUGCUUGAAGGAGGAUUUAGUAGUAAAAAGGAAACAGAGUGUCCUUUUGAACCCGGCUCUGAGGCGCGU
RNAcentral lists this ribosomal RNA (390 nucleotides) under Tinca tinca (tench). RNAcentral describes it as "partial 12S ribosomal RNA". It matches the Rfam family "Bacterial small subunit ribosomal RNA", at positions 794 to 1384 of the family's 1533-position model. The record is from RNAcentral. Lineage: Eukaryota; Metazoa; Chordata; Actinopteri; Cypriniformes; Tincidae.